Molecule: ribosomal RNA, 489 nt
Filed under: uncultured bacterium
Lineage: Bacteria
Description: partial 16S ribosomal RNA
Rfam family: Bacterial small subunit ribosomal RNA
Source: RNAcentral
GACGAACGCUGGCGGCGUGCUUAACACAUGCAAGUCGAACGGAAAGGCCCUGCUUUUGUGGGGUGCUCGUGUGGCGAACGGGUGAGUAACACGUGAGUAACCUGCCCUUGACUUUGGGAUAACUUCUGGGAACUGGGGCUAAUACCGCAUAUGAACUCCUUCUGCAUGGUGGGUGUUGUAAAGUUUCGGCGUUUGGUGAUUGACUCGCGGGUUGUCAGCUUGUUGGUGGGGUAGUGGCUUACCAAGGCGUUGACGCGUAGCCGACCUGAGAGGGUGAUCGGCCACAUUGGGACUGAGACACGGGCGAAACGCCGACGGGAGGAAGCAGUAGGGAAGCUGCGGCAAUGGAGGAAAGUCUGACCGAGCAACGCCGCGGGAGUGAAGAAGGGUUUCGGAUCGGAAAACUCUGUUGGUAGAGAAGAACGGGGGGGAGAGUGGAAAGCUCAUCAAGUGACGGUAACUACCCAGAAAGGGACGGCUAACUACGUG